GUUUCAUUUGUAGAGAGAGAACGAGAUACUAGAGAGGAUGAAAACCAGAGGGUUCCAGCCACCGGCGGUGGCGAUGGUGGAAGGGCAUUUAGAGUGACGGGACAUUGAUAAGUCGGUAACAAUCAUAAACCCUGACGGCGGUGCUAGGGUUUUGCGAUGAUCACAUACUUCCGGCGAAUACAAUGGUGAGGACAGAGAGCCGAUGACCUCUUAGAACCUUCGACGGGUACGGGUUAUUCUCCCAGCGACUACACCCACGUGCAGAGGUGGCCAUGUUUGGUGGUGACGGCUGCUAGGGCUCCGUCGUUCUAGCUUUUGUUCGAAUCAAUGUUUAGGGAUUGCGGAGUGGUUAGGGAGUUUUGAAGUGGGAAAAGGCGGGGACUUUGUCUUUGAGUGAAGAGUUUGAGGUUAGCAGAUAAGUAAAAGAAUCACUGAAUGUAGACCAGUUGUCUAUGGAAGCAUUGGUUGAAUGGCAGUCUUAUUGAGAAGAUGAAGAAUGGGACCACUUCCACAUAACCGUAGUACUGGGAUACUUAUGUCUACAGAAGGAAAUCGGUUGUCGUGAAAGCUUCUACUGAUGAUAGCAACAAUUUGAGUUAAGGGAACAAACAAGUUCAGAGACCAGGCCUUGGUGAAAUCUAACAACUACUUUUAGAUGAU
Molecule: long non-coding RNA, 660 nt
Organism: Helianthus annuus (common sunflower)
Lineage: Eukaryota; Viridiplantae; Streptophyta; Magnoliopsida; Asterales; Asteraceae
Exons: 3
Source: RefSeq, a predicted model, not a curated record